RNAcentral lists this ribosomal RNA (253 nucleotides) under uncultured bacterium. RNAcentral describes it as "partial 16S ribosomal RNA". It matches the Rfam family "Bacterial small subunit ribosomal RNA", at positions 524 to 776 of the family's 1533-position model. The record is from RNAcentral.
UACGGGGGGGGCAAGCGUUGUUCGGAAUUACUGGGCGUAAAGGGCUCGUAGGCGGCCAACUAAGUCGGACGUGAAAUCCCCAGGCUCAACCUGGGAACUGCGUCCGAUACUGGAUGGCUUGAAUUCGGGAGAGGGAUGCAGAAUUCCAGGUGUAGCGGUGAAAUUCGUAGAUAUCAGGAGGAACACCAGUGGCGAAGGCGGCUUCCUGGACACCAACUGACGCUGAGACGCGAAAGCGUGGGGAGCAAACAGG